Molecule: ribosomal RNA, 481 nt
Filed under: fungal sp. E14521C
Lineage: Eukaryota; Fungi
Description: eukaryotic LSU rRNA
Rfam family: 5.8S ribosomal RNA (bases 140-293)
Source: RNAcentral
UACCGAGUUUUCGAGCUCCGGCUCGACUCUCCCACCCUUUGUGAACGUACCUCUGUUGCUUUGGCGGCUCCGGCCGCCAAAGGACCUUCAAACUCCAGUCAGUAAACGCAGACGUCUGAUAAACAAGUUAAUAAACUAAAACUUUCAACAACGGAUCUCUUGGUUCUGGCAUCGAUGAAGAACGCAGCGAAAUGCGAUAAGUAAUGUGAAUUGCAGAAUUCAGUGAAUCAUCGAAUCUUUGAACGCACAUUGCGCCCCUUGGUAUUCCGGGGGGCAUGCCUGUUCGAGCGUCAUUACAACCCUCAAGCUCUGCUUGGAAUUGGGCACCGUCCUCACUGCGGACGCGCCUCAAAGACCUCGGCGGUGGCUGUUCAGCCCUCAAGCGUAGUAGAAUACACCUCGCUUUGGAGCGGUUGGCGUCGCCCGCCGGACGAACCUUCUGAACUUUUCUCAAGGUUGACCUCGGAUCAGGUAGGGAUAC